AGCUUUAUAUUCAAAAAAUGAUAUUAGAUUGCAAAUCUAAAGGUGUAUUUUACUAAAGCUU
This 61-nucleotide transfer RNA is filed under the name Hydaropsis longirostris. RNAcentral describes it as "tRNA-Cys". RNAcentral also lists the same sequence under 1 other name. Lineage: Eukaryota; Metazoa; Arthropoda; Insecta; Hemiptera; Coreidae. The record is from RNAcentral.